AUUCACUCAGAGCAGACCGAAGACUGUGAGACUUCCUCCCCACAGUGAGCUAAAAGGACGCUUUUGUCAGAGUGGGGAAAUAAAAGGGCUUUAUGGGAAGGAAGAUAAGAACAGAUGAGUCAGAGGUUUCUGCUUAAUGCUCACUCUUCAAUUCUUUCCCGAGCAAAACCAAGAAUCUUCUUGGGCUAAGCCCCAAUUUGGGGUUCACCUGCCUUGCAGCAACAUGGCACCAAACAUGCGGCAGAAGAGAGAAAACGACAGCAUGAGAGACGGAGAAAGAAAUGGCCAGUUGGCAAGGUGGUAAUGAGAGACAGCAGUUGGCAAGACAGUGAGAGACAGCAAGAGAUGGCAAGUGACAGUUAUUGUUAAGAUGACAAAUGGAGAGAUGGCAAGAAAUAGAGAAGCAGUCAGUGAUGGAGGCUGCAAGAGUUGUAACACUAACCAAAGGCUCUUUUUAGAAUCAUCGUUUUCCCUGGCAGGUGGUACAGCCAAGCAGACAGGCAAGUAAGUGGCCAUACUGCUACUGCCUCAUGUAGGAUCCGGCAGGCUGGUGGGUUAUCAGUCCUCACGUGGGACCCUCCCACCAUGGCAGCUGAGCACAUCCAAGCUGGGGGAUCCUGAAGAGACCUUCACCUGGGUGCCACGUGGAAGAUUGGCCAGCACCAUUUUGACUCCUGUGGAUGGAGCUAGCUGAGGUUUUAUUUUGGACACACAAAAAAGAAAAAAGCAAUUGAAUUGUUUUGUAGCUGGAGACAUGGGCAAGGGGGUAUCCCCAAGCAGUAAACUCCUCCGCAGGUGGGCUGAGGGCUAGGGCUGAGCCUCAGGUGGGUCUCCCGUUCCCUGUGCUCCCCUGCACAGCGGCCUCCCUCCCGGACUCUGGGGCAGCCGCAGGAGGGGCAGGCUGGGAGGGGCUGCCCUGGCUGUUCACUUGGGCAGGACGUCAAAGGACUCGGACACCGGACUCGGACACCGGCUUCCCGUUGCAGGUCUGGAUCUUCUUCACAACCACGGCCCUGGUGGAGCUGGUGCGGCUGAAGGAGCUGGCGCCCAUGCCAGAGCCAAAGCUGGAGCCCAGACCGUAGCUGAGGCCGGGGCUCGUGAGGCCCCCAUAGGCCGAGCUCAGCGCACCUGCAUAGCUGCUGGUGGUCUUCGUAUGGAUACUCCUGUUCUGCAUCCCAGACUCCAGCCGGCUCUCCUCGCCCUCUAGCAGCUUCCUGUAGGUGGCGAUCUCGAUCUCGAUGUCCAGGGCCAGCUUGACGUUCAUCAGCUCCUAGUACUCACGCAGCUGCCGCGCCAUGUCCUGCUUGGCCGGCUGGAGGGCGGCCUCCAGCUCGGACAGCUUGGCGUUGGCACCCUUAACUGCCAGCUCCUCAGGCUGCUCGGCAUCUGUGAUGGCGGCCUCCAGGGAAGCCCUCUGGCCUUUGAGGCACUCAGUCUCAGCCUGGAGCCCACUGAUGUUCCAGUUUAUCUCGGAGGUCUCAGUCUUUGUAUGCUGCACGUCAUCCCAGUGCCUCCCAGCCAGCGCCUGCAGCUUCUCAUACUUGAUCUGGUACAUGCUCUCAGCCUCAGCCCGCCUGCGGUUGGCGAUCUCGUACUGCGCCUUGACCUCAGCGAUGAUGCUGUCCGUGUCCAUGGAGCGGCUGUUGUCCAUGGACAGCACCACAGACGUGGCGGAGAUCUGGGACUGCAGCUCCCGGAUCUUCUCUUCAUACAGCCGCCUGAGGAAGUUGAUCUCGUCAGUCAGCCCUUCCAGGCCAGACUCCAGCUCUAACUUGUUCAUGUAAGCUUCAUCCACAUCCUUCUUGAUGAGGACAAAUUGAUUCUCCAUCUCUGUACGCUUAUUGAUCUCAUCCUCGUACUUGUUCUUGAAGUCCUCCACCAGCCCCUGCGUGUUGCCAAGCUCCGUCUCCAGCUUCAGCUUCUCCUGGCCCAGAGUCUCCAGCUGCCGCCUAAGGUUGUUGAUGUAGCUCUGGAACAUGUUGUCCGUGUUGCUCCCAGCCGUCUGCUGCUGCUGCAGGAGGCUCCACUUCGUCUCCUGAAUCUUGUUCUGCUGCCCCAGGAACCGCACCUUGUCGAUGAAGGAGGCAAACUUGUUGGUGGGGUUCUUGAUCUGCUCCUUCUCCUGGGUGCGCAUGGCCUGGAUGUUGAGAUCCACCUCCUAAGGGGGCUCAGCAGACUCUGGUUGACUGUGACAGCAGUGAUGCCUCCCAUGCCGCUGGUCCCACCAUAGCCUCUGCCCAGGCCAGCCCAGAAGCUGCUGCUGCCCAGUAGGGAGAAGCUCUAAGAGCUGAUGCAGGCACUGGGCCCACUCGUAUAGGAGCGGCAUAGCAGCAUUUUUACAAUAAUCCAGUAACCCUGUUGUUCAUCAAUAGCAUAAUUGAGAAAUAUAUUGUGAUAUAUUUAUACGAUGGAAACUAUUCAGCAAUGGGAAUGACUGAACUACAGCACUAUGAAUCUUAUAGAUUGAGUAUACGAAGCAAGAUACAAAUUACUCCAUUUAUAUAAAUGUAAAAAAAAAAACAAAACAAAACCUAGGCAGCAUAGCCAAACCCUGUCUGCACAAAAAUGUAAAAUAAAAUUAGCCAGGUAUGGUGGAGGAUGAGUCCUAGCUACUUAGGAGGCUGAGGUGUGUGGAUCACUUGAGCCAGGAGUUCAAGGCUGCAGUGAGUCAUGACAGGACAGAGGGAGACCUGUCUACUGUCUGUCCCUAUAGAAAAAGAAAAAAGUAAGUCAAAAAACAAGCCAAAUGAAACUAUAUUGUUGAGAGAUGUGUAUAUAAGUGGUAAAAUGGAAAACAAGCAAGUAGCUAACAUAAAAUUCAAGAUCAUGGUUACCUCUAGAGAUAGAAUGGGGUGUGUGACCUGAGGGAAGUCUCGUAUGGAUGAAGGGCUGCUUUUGGGGUGCUGGGUAAAUUCUAAUUUUUGAAGUGGGUGGUGGUGGAAUGUUUUAAAAACAUUAAAACUUUUUAAAAUGAAUGGUGCUUAUAAGGGAUUAAAAAAAAAAAACAUGAAGCAUAACCUGAAGUUUUCAUGAUGCCAGUCUCCUGGUGUCUUUUCCUGAAUUUGGCAGACAGGAUGGCCAGAGGAAAUGCAUCAAUGCAGAGGGACAGAAACAGCAGUGUGGCCUGGGAAAGGUGAGUGGCCACUGCUUCAGCCAUGGCAUUCACUACAGCAGUGCUUCUUUUUCAUUAUUUCUUUUCCUUUAUCAUCUUAUUUUAAAAACAUUUUGCAUGUAUAUAUUUUCAAGUUUCCACACAAUGCAUUGAUUUACUUAUAUUUUCCAUUUUUUUCUUUUUAAUUUUUUUCUAGAACAAUGCUUCUUAAACUUUAGUGUGCACACUGGGACUCUUACUAAAUGCAGAUUCUGGUUUAGUAGGUCCCGGGGAAGGACCAGGGAUUCUGCAUUUCUAACAAGCUCCCUGGUGAGGUCCUUGCUGCUGGUUCACGGAACCCCACUUUGGCCAGAAGCUAGAGCAUUUCCAAGUGGAAAGUGGCCUCUGCAGCCAGGUUCAGUGGCUCACGCCUGUAAUCUCAGCACUUUUGGAGGCUGGGGUGGGAGGAUUGCUUGAGCCCAGGAGUUUAAGACCAGCCUGGGCAACAUAGUGAGAUCCCAUCUCAGGAAGGAAGGAAGGAAGGGAGGGAGGAAGAGAGAGAGGGAAAGAGGGAAAAGCAAGCAAGCAAGCCAUCCUGCCAGUUUCCUACCCGAGUGUUGACUGCUGAAUGAGGAGACCUCAUCACAGGAAGUACACUCAUCCUAUUCCUACUUCCACUCUCCUUCCAUCACCACUCCUAUCUCCAUACUGGUUCUGAGCUCAUAGGUCCCAGGGAGGGGCCAAGGAUCCCUACAGAUCCACCUGCCCAUCUCCAUUCCACUCCCACUUAUCUCCUCUGUCCCUCUGUCCAUCCUCAGAUUCUUUCCCAACCCCAUCUGCAUGUGGUCUCCAUUGCAUCCAUAUCGCUAUCUUCAUUUCUGUCUGUUUUCCCAUCUGUUGCAAUCUCCAGCUCCAGGUGAAUCCCAACUCCCAUUGCUAUCUCCAUCCUAUCCCCACUAUACCCCAUCCCUAUUCUGAUACACUUCCUUUUCACCCUUACUUUCUCCAGAGUGAAAAUUGAGGCAGAUUCAUAAAGAAGUCUAAGAGUUUUGGGGAUGUUGGGGACUAUCAAGGUUGACAGUCUCUCCAUAUAGAAAUUCUUCCCCAGAUUCCCAGGAGAAACUUUGAAAUAAAUUACUCAAGUCAAGAUUUCAGAUAUAACUUAUUCACUGCCCAUGGUGAGUAUGGGGGAGGGCUAGGACUGGGAUGGGAAGCAGGAGGGAAUAAAAAGGAGAUAGGGCUCUCCAGAGAGACAAGAAGGUAAAGAUUCAACAAGGGAAGCUAAGAAGUCACAGACUGGGAGACAGAGGCAAAUGAGAAAUGUAUGGAUAACAGAUCUCAAAUCUAGUUUAACCUCUUCCCCACCUUCCCAUCCCCAUACAGGUCAGGCUUUGACACAAGGAAUUUAGAGAAGAAAAAAGGUGUGGUCUGCUGUUUCAUUCAGUCCAUUAUCUGUUGAGCAUUCCUUUUUUUAUUCAAAUAGAGCAGAAGAAAGGAGCUUGAAAUGGACAGUUAUCUCUGGUUUAUCUGGCUGUAGAGUGCAGAGAUGAUUCUCUUUCAGGAUGGGAGAGGGGGUGGGGAGGAGGAGAGAGGUGGGAAUGUAAUGAUGAUGGUGAUGGGUUGAUGAAUGUGAGACUGGAGGUUUUUUUCAUACAAAGUCUCGCUCUUGUUCCCCAAGCUGGAGUGCAAUGGCAUGAUCUUGGCUCACUGCAACCUCCGCCUCUUGGGUUCAAGCAAUUCUCCUGCCUCAGCCUCCCAAGUAGCUGGGAUUACAGGCACCUGCCACCAUGCCCAGCUAAUUUUUGUAUUUUAAGUAGAGACAGGGUUUCACUGUUUUGGCCAGGCUGGUCUCGAACUCCUGACCUUAGGUUAUCCACCCGCCUCGGCUUCCCAAAGUGCUGGGAUUACAGGUGUGAGCCACCGCGCCUGGCUGAGACUGGAGUUUUAAAUUACAGUAGUCCCUCCUCCUGUAUCUGCGGUUUCAGUUACCUGAGGUCGACCACACUCUGAAAUUAUUAAAUGAGAAAAAUCCAGAAACAAACAAUUCAUAAAUUUUAAAUUGCAUGUUGUUCUGAGUAGCAUGGUAAGAUCUCAAGCAAUUCCACUCCGUCCUGCUCAGGAGGAAUCAUUUCUUUGACUUAUCCCUUUGUCCAGCAUUUCCACUCUGUCUAUGCUACCCUUCAUUGGUCGCUUGGUAAAGGUCUCGGUUAUCAGAUCAACUGUUGCGGUAUCACAGUGCUUAUGUUCAAGUAACCCUUAUUUUACUUAAUAAUGGCCCCUAAGUGCUAGAGUAGUGAUGCUGGUAUAUUGUUAUAAUUGUUUUAUUUUAUUAUUACUGUUAAACUCUUACUGUGUGUAAUUUAUACAUUAAACUUUAUCAUAGGUAUGUACGUAUAGGAAAAAAACACAGCAUAUAUAGGGUCUGAUAUUAUUCAAAGCUUCAGGCAUCCGUUGGAGCAUCUUGGAAAGUAUCCCCUUGGAUAAGAGAGGACUAGUGUAUAUUGAAUGACUAGAAGACGAAUGAGCCCAUCCAAGAUACUGUUAAGGCACAGAGAAGGGAAAUGUGACAACACUGAGUUGAAGGCAGUGACUGGAGGAAAAUAAAACAGUUUCAUGUUUGUGCCCCCACUGAGUUUCAGAUUAUUCAACUAACCAGUCACCUGCCGUGUAGAGCUUCUUUCUUUCCCAAGAUCUUGCUGUCUUGCUUAGAGAUUUCAGGUUUCUUCCCUUAUAUGCGUGCUGGGAAUUCAGCAGUGGAAGCUCUGUCCAGAUGCCUUCUGCUGGAAUUAGCAAUAGAAUCUCACAAAUUGUUUAAGCCCAGCUAUGUCUCUUCUUGACUUCUUGAGUGAAUCCCAAGAGGCAUUGGAACUUUACUUUUGCUGACUGUUUCCCCAUUUUUCCUUCUGAUUCUUUCAGUUUCUGGUUAUUGGCUAGGGUUGUUUGUGAGUCAUCUAACUUGUAUUUUUGCUGUUCCAUAGCCUGCCCAUGAAUGCAGGGGAUUGGGGUGAGAAGGCAGCCCACGCAUUCAAGUUGAAUUUGUGCAGGGUGGUGAGCUUCCCCCUGGGUAGGCAGCAGACUUGGUUAGGAGCCUGGUUUCAUGGUUUGACCACUGGUGAUCUCUGCUGGGUGGCUGGUGGGAUCUAGUCUCUGAUAGGUGAGAGAUGACAGAGAAUCUCGUUUGUUAGCUCUUUUUUUUUUUUUUUUUUUUUUUUGACAAAGUUUCCCUCGUGUUGCCCAAGCUGGAGUGCAAUAGCGUGAUCUCAGCUCACUGCAACCUCUGCCUCCUGGGUUCAAGUGAUUCUCCUGCCUCAGCCUCCCAAGUAGCUGGGAUUACAGGUGCAUACCACCAUACCCUGCUAAUUUUUUGUAUUUUUAGUAGAAAUGGGGUUUCACAAUGUUAGCCAGGCUGGUCUUGAACUCCUGACCUCAGGUGAUCUGCCCGCCUUGGCCUCCCAAAGUGCUGGGAUUACAGGCAUGAGCCACCGCACCCAGCCUGUUAGUUCAUUUUGUAUGACAGAUUGUUUAUUUGUGAGAUCAAGUCACUUAAACUCUUUUGUGCCCAAAAGAAGGAGAAGAGCCCUUUGAGAUCUGUCUGAACUGGUGAGUUUUUGUGGUUCUGUGGCUACUGACCGAUGAGGAGUUAUAAAAAUGAAGCUGCAAACUCUGGGGUCUCUAGGCCUGUAAAUGAGAAAAGCCUUAAAUCUCAUUGUGUGAAUGGGGAAAAUUUUUCUACCUCCUGAGGGUAUUAACAAAUUAGAUUAUAAAGAUUUAAAUUAAAGGGGCUUUGUCCUGAUUGGUUUAUAGAGACCAGUAAGAGCUUUUGUAAAUCCAAUUUUGCCCAAACUCCCAGAAAACAAAGAAGCUGAACUCCUAAUACUUUAAAUGGGAUAAGCAAAACAAAACAAAAACCUUUUUCAUAGAAACUGCUAGCUCAGAAGCAAUUUUAUACAAUAAUCCACGGUUCAUGUAAUCAGGAAAGGUUUAAUCCUUGGGCAAGUCAGACUGAUUUGAUGAUUUUGCCCUAAAAAGUAACAUCUUUUUACUGAUUUUACCAGUGUAGAAUAUAAUACAAACAUAUGUUUCAGUUUAUUUUAUUUUUUUUAACUGUACCUGCUGGAAUAGGAUUAGUUUGAUUUUAAGAAUUGCUUUUGUUUUCUUAUGGAGAAAAUAAUCUGUAUACCGAACACACAGACGUACUCCUCUGCCUCUGUUGGUCCCAGUAUCAAUCACCCUUCUUCCAACUUUAUCAAUCACCCUCUUUCCAACUUUACCUAAGUAGCUAAGUUCUGUUUCAGGGAGGGAGAGAACUGGGAGGUAGGGCAUGGAGAACUAUCUAUUAUAUACAAACAUUUUAUCAAAUCAACAGUGUUUACAAAGAAUAUAUAAUAUGACCCCCACAGCCAUAUACAUAUAUCUUUUUUAUACUUUUUUUUUUUUUUUUUUUUUUGCGGGGGGGACAGAGUCUCACCCUGUCACCCAGGCUGGAGUGCAAUGGCACGAUCUCGGCUCACUGCACCUCCGCCUCCCGGGUUCAAGCAAUUCUCCUGCUUCAGCCUCUUCAGUAGUUGGGAUUACAGGCAUGUGCCACCACGCCUGGCUAAUUUUUGUAUUUUUACUAGAGACGGGGUUUCACCAUGUUGGCCAGGCUGGUCUCAAACUCCUGACCUCAAGUGAUCUACCUGCCUCAGCCUCCCAAAGUGCUGGGAUUAUAGGCGUGGGCCACUGGGCCUGGCCUACACUUUCUUAAAAUGGCAAUGAUGAACACACUCAUGAAAAUGACCCAAAGGUUAAGCCACUCCAUAAUAUAGAAAAGUAAGAAGUAAAGGUAGACAGACUAUGCUUGGUGACCCAUGUUUGAGCAUUCUAUCUUAAUUAGAAAUUAUCCAGAUACCCAAAAAUUAUUAUUUAAUAUUUAACCUAGGUUUUAAAGUUAGCUGGCCGGGUGCAGUGGCUCAUGCCUGUAAUCCCAGUGCUUUGGGAGUCCAAGGCGGGCAGAUCAACUGACGUCAGGGGUUCGAGACCAGCCUGAGCAACAUGGACAAACCCCGUCUCUACUAAAAAUAAAGAAAAAAUUAGCCUGGUGUGGUGGUGCAUGCCUGUAAUCCCAGCUACUCAGGAGGCUGAGGUAGGAAAAGCACUUGAACCCUGGAGGUGGAGGUUGCGAUGAGCCGAGAUCACGCCAUUGCACUCCAGCCUGGACAACGAGAGCGAAACUCCAUCUCGAAAUAAAUAAAUAAGUAAAUAAAUAAAUAAGGUUAGCUAAAGAAGGAAAAAAAGUUAGCUAAAGAUCUUGGGGAUUAUAUUUAAACGGAUGUAUUAUAGAACCUAACUACUACUUAUAUAAAAAAAUUGGUCAGAAUUGUGCUUCAGCUGGCAUGGUGGCUCACACCUAUAAUCCCAGCACUUUGGGAGGCCAAGGCAGGAGGAUUGCUUUGAGCCCAGGAGUUUGAGACCAGCCUGGGCAACAAAGCGAAACCCCAUCUUAAAAAAAAAUAAUUUAGUUAAACGCAUUAUUCUGUUUUCCUUUUUUUUGAGACAAGGUCUCUCUCUGCCACCCAGGUUGGAAUGCAGUGGUGUGACCAUGGCUCACUGCAGCCUUGACCUCCUGGGCUCAAUUAAUCUUCCUACUUAAGCCUCCCUAACAGCUGGGACCACAGUGCACACCACCACUCCCAGCUAUAUAUAUAUUCUUUAAUGCUUUGUAGAGAUGAAGAAGUGUCACUGUGUUGCCCAGGCUGGUCUCAAACUCCUGGGCUCAAGCGAUCCACCUGCCUCGGUCUCCUAAAACACUGGGAUUACAGGCUUAAGCCACCAUGCCCGGCCUGUGUUUUUCUUAAUCUUACUAUCUCAAAUUAGGUAUCUAUCAUUCCCAUGGAUGUUUUUAUGUCUUUAUUACAUAUGUUGGUGUAUCCAUAAACAAUUUCUACUAUUUUGCAUGUUUUAAAGCUUUUUGUAAAUGCUGUUAUUUUGCAUGAAUUCCUUUGCAACUUGUUUUUUUUUUUUUUUUUUUGAGCUUAUAUUUUUAAACCUUCUUAUUUGGGAAUAAUUUUAGGUUUACAGGAAAAUUGCAAAAGUAGUACAGUUACUGUAUGCCUUUCAGUCAGCUUCUAAUGUUAACACCAUACAUAACUGUGGUGCAUUUAUCAAAACUAAGAAAUAGCCUGUAAUCUCAGCACUUUGGGAGGCCGAGGUGGGCGGAUCAUGAGGUCAGGAGUUCGAGACUGUCCUGGCUUACACGGUGAAACCCCAUCUCUACUAAAAAUACAAAAAAUUAGCUGGGUGUGGUGGCACGCUCCUGUAGUCCCAGCUACUCCGGAGGCUGAGACAGGAGAAUUGCUUGAACCCUGGAGGCAGAGCUUGCAGUGAGCUGAGAUCGCGCCAUUGCACUCCAGCCUGGGCGACGCAGCAAGACUAUCUCAAAACAAAACAAAACAAAAACUAAGAAAUAAACGUUGGUACAAUACUAUUAACUAAGCUAUAGACUUUAUUCAGAUUUCACCAGUUUUUCCACUAAUGUCCUUUUCCAGGAUCCUACCCAGGAUACCACAUUACACUUAGCAGAUUGCAUUUUUGAGAUUUAUGAUGACACAUGACAUUUUAAUUUAUUCAUUCUAAUUGAAGUUGGAUUCCCAUUGUUUGACCAUACCAACAUGUAUUUAUUCUCCUGUCGGUAGGUAGUUAGGUUGUUUCCAAAUUUCUUUUACUAUUACAAACAAUGGUGCAAUACUUGUACCUCUGUCCUUAUCUUCUUUACACUGUCAGGAAACAGAGAGCACCUAUCUAUAAUUUACGAUGAAGUCUAAGCCUGUACCUUCAAAACCUGGCUCUGACUUUUUCUUCUAGCCUCCUCUUCAUCUCCCACCAAACCUCCAGGUUCAGGACUGGUUACUCCAGCUCUCUCCAAUGUUUUCUUUUUCUUUCUUUUUUUUAUUUUCUUUUUUUAUUUUUUAGCAUCAGGGUCUCAGUCUUUUUGUCCAGGCUGGAGUACAGUGGCAUGAACAUAGCUCACUUUAACCUUGAACUCCUAGGCUCAAGCAAUCCUCCCACCUUAGCCUCCCAAGUACUAGGACUACAGGCACUUGCCACCAUGCCUGGCCAUUUUUAUUGUUUAUUUUUGAAGAGACGGGGUCUUGCUUUGUUGCCCAGGCUGGUCUGGAGCUCCUGGGCUCAAGCAAUUCUCCCACCUCGGCCUUGCAAAGUGCUGGGAUUAUGGAUGUGAGUCACCGCAAUUGGCCUUCAGCCUUCCCUUUUCUGGUCAUCUUUCUUACCCCACUGCCAGCCCCAGCAGUGUCUAUCUGAAUGCUGUGCAAUUUAAGAGUAAAAUAGGGUUAGUAAGGAAAGCUUGGACUGGGCAUGAAAGAGACUUAUGUUCAUGUCUAUCUACCUCUUCAUUUGACAAAGGGUUCCUAAUUAUCUCCCAUGUGGCAGACACAGUGCUAGGUACCCAGAGGUUUGUCCUUAGAUGCUCCCCUUUUCAUUCCACAUCUCAGGGGCUCUUGUUCAUUCUGAUGGCUUCAAUUCUGAAAUCCAUAACUCCAGCCCAGACUUUGUUUCCUGAGCUUCUAGCUCAUAUAUGUAACUGCUUCCUGGACAUUCCCAUUUCUCAUAGGUAACCUCAAAGUUGAUUUGUUCAAAAAUUACUUCAUGGCUGGGUGCUGUGGCUUAUGCCUGUAAUCCCAGCAUUUUGGGAGGCUGAAGUGGGAGGAUUUCUUGAGCCCAAGAGUUCAAGAAAUUUCAAGACAGCUUCUUUCAAUUUCUGUAGCUAUCCAGUUGCAGACUGGUGAAAUUUGCAAACCAUUGUUAACCACAGACCACACUUUGAGUAGCACCAAAGAGAGGCAACAGAACAGAAUGUACAUAUGUGGUCCUUAGAGCAGGACAGCAGAAGGCAGAAAAAGAAGAUUCUUUUAAGCAAACAGGUAAUAAUGACAUCAUCAGUAACUACAGUUACUGAUGUAGUUCUCUACUAAGUUCUCUGUACUCAAUCAGUUCUCUGUACUAAGAUAUGGGUAACCCGGGGCAGUGCAAGUGCAGAGGAGGCACCUAGGCCAGCCUGGGUAUCAGGGAAGGCAUAAGACAGGUAGGAGUUGGGUGGGGGAAGCAUUAGUGACGAGUGGGAAGGACACUCCAGGCAGAGAAACAAGUUCUGGAGUCAUUCUGCAGCAUAUGGGUUAGAGGAUGACCUUUCCUGUGAUUUGAUGGCUACUUGUCUCUGCGCAUCAGCAUUAGUUUCCAUGUGUAUAAAAUGGAUAUGAUAAUCCUUUCUUUGAAUCACAAAAAGAUAAAGCAUGAGAUGUACCUGUUAUAAUGCCUGGUGCUUGCUAAUAUUGCUGUUCUGUGUGUAAAAGAUACAGGAGUCAGAGCUGCCACAGACAGCGAGUUACAGCACUUUGCAGGGGACAGCUCAUGGACCCAGGACUGGAGCCCAGAAUGACAAGGGUUCUGGAAGGUAACAGGGAAAAUGGCAGUGGGGUGGGCAGCAUGCCUGCCCCUGAGUCAUUCCCAGGCCUAGGUGUGUGUCUACAGGAUGGACUGUCAGGGGAGGAUAGGGUGCAUUGUAAGGUUGGGGGAGGAGGCAGGACCUCAGGGCAAACUCCUCUGACCUACAAGGCCCAGGCAUUCCAGAUGUCCACGCAAAAAUUGGCUCCAAAUUAAAAGGCUGAAAGGUGGGGCUGGCUCUGUCCUAUUUUGAUAUGCUUUGAGGCAUUCGAUAAAGAUGUUAAUGGGAUCAUUCAUAAAUCAGGAAACUAAUCCUCUGAGGUGCUGGUUGCUAAUGAAGCGAGAAUCAGGAAGAUUAAAUCACAGAUUUCAAAAUCUCAGGCUGGAAUUUAAUCCCAGACCUUGAGUCCAGACUUCAUCUCAAACAGAUGGCAUGGUUCGAAACAUAUCCCGACUGCAGUAGUCACUUGGAAAUGAGUUCCCAGUAGUCCUUGCAGUUCAACCAAAUACUACUUCUGGGAAUGGGGCAUGGAAAUGGGACGUCGGGGUGCAGCAAAGGCUUCCUGGAGGUGACCCCAAGGGAGAGUGGCCUAUAGUAGACACUCAUUAAAUAUUGGUAAAACAAAUGGAGUUAGUAGAUGAAGAAAAGGGGGAAGAGCAUUCCAGGCAGAGAUAAUACAGGGCCACCUGGCAGGGUCAAGAAGACUUGGGGCCCCUUGGCAUAUUAAAGUGGGCGGUGGUAGCAGUCUGUCCACAUGCAGGCUAGAAGGGGUGCAUAUCUAUAAAGAGCUUAACAAUAAUAGAUCCAACUAAAAGUUGGUCUGCCUUUUAUUAUUGCUGUGUGCCAGUGAUUUUUAAAUACUGUUGAAAUACUCCUCUCCUAAAAAAUCUUUUGUUGGUUUAAGUUCUAAAUAAUUGCUGUAGAUACUGAAUUUUAUUUGUACAUGUAAACUUCACACUAACACAUUUUUAUUAGCGAUCCUUUAAUAAAUAUUGCAUUCUAUGUGGAAGUUCAUUUGGAGAAUGCUUGGUUAUAUAGUCACACCAAUACCCAUCUUUGGAGCUCACUUUAGGCAAGGGUCACAUCUCCUACCCCUGUGGUAUUAGACACAUCCAAGUUUACACUGUAGAUUCAGAAUAAACAAUCAUGAGUUACUGUCAGUGAUGACAAAGACAAACAGGGCUUGACUUUUUUCAAUUCUGUCAUUCUAUGUAACCAGUUGGACUUUUGUGUUAAAACAGUGGGACAGGCCAGGCGCGGUGGCUCAUGCCUGUAAUCCCAACACUUUGGGAUGCCGAGGUGGGCGGAUCAUGAGGUCAGGAGAUCGAGACCAUCCUGGCUAACACAGUGAAACCCCGUCUCUACUACAAAUACACACACACAAAAAAAUUAGCCAAGAGUGGUGGCAGGCGCCUGUAGUCACAGCUACUUGGGAGGCUGAGGCAGGAGAAUGGCAUGAACCCGGGAGGCGGAGCUUGCAGUGAGCCGAGAUCGCGCCACUGCACUCUAGCCUGGGCAAUGGAGCGAGACUCUGUGUCAAAAAAAAAAAAAAAAAAAAAACCAAAACAAAAAAAAAACAAAAACCAGUGGGACAGAGUGCAAACUGAGAGGCAAAACAUUUUUGUUUGUUAAGUGCAAAUUUUUAAUUUGUACAUGAAAUAUGUUACUGAAUUUGAAUAAAAAUUUACCUUUGAAAUGAAAACCUAUUCCUUUAUACUUGUUAAUGGUUUUAAAAUGAAAGAUGAAUAAAGGAAAUAAAUGUUAUAGCCUAAGUAUUAUUGCCUAAAUUGUAUCUUAUUUAGAUGCUUUGGUUUUAUUAAAAUUUGCUUGUUGGUUGCUGGAUGACCAUUUACAUAAGGGAGUAUAUCAGAUUGUAAAGAAAGGAUCAAAAUUUAAACAGGUAGAUGUGAAAAUGAUUGAAAUAAAUAGUUGUGCCUUUUUCAUUUUUUGGAGCCAUAAUAUUAAUUUUAUGUAUUUAUUUUAUGAUGUGAGUAUGCAUACAAAUUUUGGCAAAUAAAUUUUUCA
Molecule: long non-coding RNA, 13556 nt
Filed under: Homo sapiens (human)
Lineage: Eukaryota; Metazoa; Chordata; Mammalia; Primates; Hominidae
Description: non-protein coding lnc-KLF17-1:31
Source: RNAcentral